RNAcentral lists this unclassified non-coding RNA (387 nucleotides) under uncultured fungus. RNAcentral's name for it is "sequence contains ITS1". The stretch from base 1 to 105 matches the Rfam family "5.8S ribosomal RNA", at positions 50 to 154 of the family's 154-position model. Lineage: Eukaryota; Fungi. The record is from RNAcentral.
GAAAUGCGAUACGUAAUGCGAAUUGCAGAAUUCCGUGAAUCAUCGAAUCUUUGAACGCAAAUUGCGCCCUUGGGUAUCCCUGAGGGCAUGCCUCCUUCAGUAUCGUUUCUACCAAUCUCUAAGACCUAGUCUUGGGAAAAUGAGAUUCUCGAGUCUGCCUCGAGUGUCUUGAAGUCCAUUGAGUUUCGUCAGUUUGACUACCUUUUCUUCGAGAAAGGCUCGUGAAACUCAGUCUCAACGGAGAUACUUCACCAUUGUGUGAUUUCUUUCGUUGAAAUCCGGCUGACUCACGAGUGUCGAUCUGGUUGCCGACUCUUAAGGUGCCUAACCCGCACAAGCAUCUAACGAUCUGAUCUGAAGUGAGGUAAGAUAACCCGCUGAACUUAA